CGCGGGGUGGAGCAGCUGGCAGCUCGUUGGGCUCAUAACCCAAAGGUCGGAGGUUCGAAUCCUCCCCCCGCAACCA
This 76-nucleotide transfer RNA is filed under the name Candidatus Sumerlaeota bacterium. RNAcentral describes it as "tRNA-Met". It matches the Rfam family "tRNA". From Rfam's summary of the family: Transfer RNA (tRNA) molecules are approximately 80 nucleotides in length. Their secondary structure includes four short double-helical elements and three loops (D, anti-codon, and T loops). Further hydrogen bonds mediate the characteristic L-shaped molecular structure. tRNAs have two regions of fundamental functional importance: the anti-codon, which is responsible for specific mRNA codon recognition, and the 3' end, to which the tRNAs corresponding amino acid is attached (by aminoacyl-tRNA synthetases). tRNAs cope with the degeneracy of the genetic code in two manners: having more than one tRNA (with a specific anti-codon) for a particular amino acid; and 'wobble' base-pairing, i.e. permitting non-standard base-pairing at the 3rd anti-codon position. Lineage: Bacteria; Candidatus Sumerlaeota. The record is from RNAcentral.